UACGGAGGGUGCAAACGUUGCUCGGAAUCAUUGGGCGUAAAGCGCACGUAGGCGGACCGCUAAGUCGGAUGUGAAAGCCCUCGGCUUAACCGAGGAAGUGCAUUCGAAACUGACGGUCUUGAGUAUGGAAGAGGGUCGCGGAAUUCCCGGUGUAGAGGUGAAAUUCGUAGAUAUCGGGAGGAACACCAGUGGCGAAGGCGGCGACCUGGGCCAAUACUGACGCUGAGGUGCAAAAGCGUGGGGAGCAAACAGG
This 253-nucleotide ribosomal RNA is filed under the name uncultured bacterium. RNAcentral's name for it is "partial 16S ribosomal RNA". It matches the Rfam family "Bacterial small subunit ribosomal RNA", at positions 524 to 776 of the family's 1533-position model. The record is from RNAcentral.